GAUAAACGCUGGCGGCGUGCCUAACACAUGCAAGUCGAACGAUCCCGCAAGGGAGAGUGGCGGAAGGGUGAGUAACACGUGGGAAUCUACCUCCUCGCAGGGAACAACCUCUCGAAAGAGAGGCUAAUACCCAAAGGGUCAGAAAUGAUCAGAGUCGAAAGGCGUGAGGAGAGGAGCCCGCGGCCCAUCAGCUAGUUGGUGAGGUAAUGGCUUACCAAGGCUACGACGGGUAGGGGAUCUGAGAGGAUGUCCCCCACACUGGAACUGAAACACGGUCCAGACGCCUACGGGUGGCAGCAGUGAGGAAUAUUGGACAAUGGGCGAAAGCCCGAUCCAGCAACGCCGCGUGGAGGAUGAAGGCCUUCGGGUCGUAAACUUCUUUAGAGGGAGACGAGAAAGGACGGUAUCCCUAGAAUAAGCGACGGCAAACUACGUGCCAGCAGCCGCGGUAAU
This 453-nucleotide ribosomal RNA is filed under the name uncultured bacterium. RNAcentral describes it as "bacterial SSU rRNA". It matches the Rfam family "Bacterial small subunit ribosomal RNA", at positions 28 to 524 of the family's 1533-position model. The record is from RNAcentral.